UUUCUUCUGGAUAUGUGAUGGAAAUUUGCCUGUUUGUUCUCGUCACAUGAUCGAAACGCUUGGGAGGGAAAGCGACAUUGCAUAACCAUUGCGAUUCGAUCGCAUUGACGAUUAAACAGCUGACGUUCGGAGCCGGUGUUUACACCGGGAUCUACAUCACACAAAACUAUGAGGUACCGAGGGUUGACGAGCCGGGAAAGCUGUUGGAAAAGGCGAAA
Long non-coding RNA from Anopheles coluzzii, 218 nucleotides. RefSeq lists it as uncharacterized. The record is from RefSeq and is a predicted model, not a curated record. NCBI's taxonomy places the organism in Eukaryota, Metazoa, Arthropoda, Insecta, Diptera, Culicidae. The transcript has 3 exons.